UGUGAGUGAGCUUAAUAAAAUUCAGAAAUCGUGUUUUUCUAAUAACAGUGCACCUUUGAGCUUAGAAUGCAUAAAAUCGGGUGAAAAUUGACCUAGACUCCAUAUAUGUAAUUAACAAGUCUCAUUUACCUGAAGGUAUUUCCCUCCCUUCAAUGCUUGCAAUUCGCAAAAGAAUGAAAUAUUCGGUUACACUCGAACUUAGGCCUUCCUUACUUGCUUAGAAUUGAAAUCACAACUUUUUAAACAAAAUGUUAUUUGUUUUAGACACAUAUAGUUUUCAUAAUGGAUUGAUAUUGAAAUUUUAAAUUCAGUAAUUAUUAGUUUAAACUAUAAUAGUAUCUGAAGAAUUCCACAAUUCCUACAUACCGUUCGAUCAAAUGUGACUCGGACUGACAAAAAAAAACACACACAUAAAUAUAGGUUUUUGCUAACUCUGUUGAUUUUUACAACUAAAUUUUAAAAUUGUUGCAAUUUCAAUAUUCAAUAAAUACAAUUUUGACCCUUUGACAUUCUGAUCAAAUUUGAUCCGGACAUCUUUAUUGUCGCCUUCAAAUCUUUCUUACGAAAUCUAUUCGACAUAGUUUUUGCAAACCAUUCAGGCCUUUAAUACGGAUUAACAUGCUUUAUUAUUAAAACAUUAAUCGAAGUGUGUUAAAUCGAUCGAUAAGUGGUGUUGAGAUCCUCUGCACUCUCUCUGAUGCAUUACAAAUAAACUCAUUGUUAAAUGUAAUUCCAAAGUAAUCGGCACAAAAAUGUUUCACGUCGUAAAAAAACACAGCCAAACAAACAGUUAUUGAAAUAUGAUUUGGUUUAAUGUAAAAAAAAAUGUUAUUGUUGUAACAUAGUUUUGAUGCAUCAAAAACACAUUCCACUAUUAAUUUUGGGAGUUGACAGUCUUUGGCCGGAUAAAACUGUCCUGGGAAUGGUGCUUAUUAUACCUACUUAUAUGACUCAUAUACUAAGCAAAAGCACUCUUGAAGUUGUUUAUAUAAUACAAAUGAAGAUACAUCAAUAACAAACGACAGUAUCACCUUGUAUAAGUAAAUUCACAAUAUCCCUAUAAAUAUUUGAAAACACAACAUUUUUCAUAGCUGCAAACUAGUAAAACAAACUGAAAUGGUUAAAGCCGCAAUCAUAUGAACUUGAUAACAAUAUUUAACGUAUUCACCGAUUAGACAGCUGCUAAAGCAACAAAAAAUGGACGAUUGCAAUUUCAGCGGAGCAAGCAGUCUUAGUAGUGAUUACCGUAAAGUUAGAAUACAGCAGAAAGGCAAACAUUUGCAAAAUUAAAUAUCCAUACAUUUAUAUUUAUCUAUAUAGUCUGCAUAAUCAGUGGCGAAUUAUUACUGAUAACAAUUUUAUAAAAACACAAACUUAUAGCUAGUGGUAACAGACAAUUUUGGCUAACAAACCGGCGCCGACGAAUUGGUUCAUGGGAAAAUAAUUGUUGCGCUUUUACUUUGCAAAAAUUUCAGUCCCAGUCAAACAAAAAAAAAUAUGCGAAAACAUUGAAAAGAGUGGCAAAAUCGUCGGCAGAGACGGCAUUGAGCGGCAUUGGGGCUGCAAAGAUGCUAAAAUGUUCACGCGCCUUUAAACGUAGAAAGCAAAUAUGUGAAAGAAAUUAUAUUUUUUUGAAUAUGUACAUACGUAUGUAAAUAGUGUGUGCUGUGAGCUGUGAACCCAUACACAUAUGAGUGAGAUAUUUGCAUUUGCAAUUUUUCGCUUUCCUAAUCUGCAAGUUAAUCUGUAAUCAACAAGAGCGUUUGGCAGUCAGUUAGUUGGCUAGAUGCCUGCUCAAAACGAGUGGGAGAAGCAGAAAUCCAUGAAAAAAUGACACGAACACAAAACCCAGCAAUGCGAGAGAGCAAAACUAAAGCUUAGAUAUUUUAAUGGACUGCAGAUGUAAGCAACAAGGAGAGUUAAUCAUCCGCUGCAAUAUUUCGCAAAGUAGAGGAUAAUAUGUAGAAUAGUGAGCAUAGGAAGCAGAACUUGUAGAUAGAAGGGCAGAAAAUAUAUAAAUGGAAAAUGGAACAAAAAUGAGGGUGUUGAAUCCUACAGCGACAAUUGUGUUGGCAUUCGAACUGAAGCGAUUAAAAGUGCUCUGGGAAAAAUGAGUGACACAUACAUCAUUAAUAUGUUAUGAAAGGUGAAAUCUGCGGAGUAAACGGGUGUGAGUUUCAAGCUUAGUCAAAGGCGCGUUGAAUGUUUGCGAGGUGUUUUGUCGCCGAUACGAGGGGUAUACAUGUAUAAGUUUCCUUUAAUAGAAUGACGUCGACUGUAGUGCACGCGUGUGUGGUACUGACAAAAAUCUAGAUGGGGUAACGAGGGGAGCAGUAAAUGUUGUCAUUAACAAAUUCAAUGCAGAAACAAGUGUAUCUAAUAAAAGUGUGUGCACUACACAAUUGUAGUUUUGAAUUGUUUUUACUAUGAAAUAUGUAUCUGUUGCUGAAAACAAAACAAAAUAAAUUUAAAUGCAAAAAGAGAUAUAAAAUAUAAAUACAUAAAACUGAUCAGUUUUAAAAAUGUUGUUAUGGAAAUUGUUGAAGAAUUUUGAAUAAAAACUGAGAAGUUAAAGCUGAAA
Molecule: long non-coding RNA, 2581 nt
Organism: Bactrocera dorsalis (oriental fruit fly)
Lineage: Eukaryota; Metazoa; Arthropoda; Insecta; Diptera; Tephritidae
Exons: 2
Source: RefSeq, a predicted model, not a curated record